AUGCACUUUAUGGCCAUAUAUGCAAACUUAGCAUCGGGAAGUUGGACCGAACCAUUUUCAAUUGAUUCAUCCAUUUGUAAUUUGAAGUUCACUAAAUCAUCUUUCAUAGAAACACCUUUUCAUAUGCGCCCAUGUUUGUAUCGAUGGAAGAGAAAAAUACCACAUAAAUGUUGUUCUUGUCAAAGGUCUGGAAGAUUCAAGCUGAAAUCAAGAAGAAUAUUGACUUUCUAA
Vicia faba (fava bean) is the source of this 231-nucleotide non-coding RNA. The record is from the annotation of a GenBank genome assembly. Lineage: Eukaryota; Viridiplantae; Streptophyta; Magnoliopsida; Fabales; Fabaceae.